RNAcentral lists this ribosomal RNA (274 nucleotides) under uncultured bacterium. RNAcentral describes it as "partial 16S ribosomal RNA". It matches the Rfam family "Bacterial small subunit ribosomal RNA", at positions 523 to 796 of the family's 1533-position model. The record is from RNAcentral.
AUACGAAGGGGGCAAGCGUUGUUCGGAAUAACUGGGCGUAAAGCGCACGUAGGCGGAAUGUUAAGUUAGAGGUGAAAUCCCAGGGCUCAACCCUGGAACUGCCUUUAAUACUGGCAAUCUAGAGACCGAGAGAGGUGAGUGGAGUUCCGAGUGUAGAGGUGAAAUUCGUAGAUAUUCGGAGGAACACCAGUGGCGAAGGCGGCUCACUGGCUCGGUACUGACGCUGAGGUGCGAAAGCGUGGGGAGCAAACAGGAUUAGAAACCCUAGUAGUCC